This is a long non-coding RNA of Leptonychotes weddellii (Weddell seal), 404 nucleotides long. RefSeq lists it as uncharacterized. Lineage: Eukaryota; Metazoa; Chordata; Mammalia; Carnivora; Phocidae. The record is from RefSeq and is a predicted model, not a curated record.
UCAAGAAAUUUCCAUUUGAUGCAAAGUUGAAAAUGGCUGAAGUGGGACCCUGGUGGGGGACCCACCAGCAUCUGGUGCCUCCGUAGGCUCCCGCCGGCCCUUGUCUUGGGGGAGCAAGGAGCAUACACCCUGGCCCCAUCCACGUGGGAACUGGCCGUGACUUGCUCAGGCUAACGGGGUGUGCGGAGGUGUGACCCAAGUGGGGAUGAACUCCAGUUCCUUGAUGGAGCUCUCCGCUGGUGUUUCUGCUACGACCGCAGGAGGAAAGGGUCCCGAGUACACGGCUGGCCCUGGAAGCAAGAGGCACGUGGGUCCGAGCUGCCCCUGGGUGUCUGCACAUCUCUGAGCCUGACCGUAAAUGCUUGCUGCUAACGAGAGAGCAGGAGAGCACAAGCAGGGGGAGC